AGCAGUCGCCACGGUAAUACGUAGGGUGCAAGCGUUAAUCGGAAUUACUGGGCGUAAAGCGUGCGCAGGCGGUUCGCUAAGACAGAUGUGAAAUCCCCGGGCUUAACCUGGGAACUGCAUUCGUGACUGGCGGGCUAGAGUAUGGCAGAGGGGGGUAGAAUCCCACGUGUAGCAGUGAAAUGCGUAGAGAUGUGGAGGAAUACCGAUGGCGAAGGCAGCCCCCUGGGCCAAUACUGACGCUCAUGCACGAAAGCGUGGGGAGCAAACAGGAUUAGAUACCCCUGUAGUCCCUGUCUCUUAUAC
Molecule: ribosomal RNA, 303 nt
Filed under: uncultured bacterium
Lineage: Bacteria
Description: partial 16S ribosomal RNA
Rfam family: Bacterial small subunit ribosomal RNA
Source: RNAcentral